UCGCAAGUAUAAUUUUGCAAUAAUUAUUACUUUUGAGGGAAGGUUUUUUUAGGGUUUGGCCACCGCUAAUCCAAACUUAAGCCAGGCACAGUAAACCUGCCCCUACAUUAUCUUUUCCUUAGAAAAGAUCAAUAUUCAACGCUACCCAUUAAACGUUAAAGUGUUGCAAUUUCUUCCAACUCAACGCGUGAUAACAACGUUGAAACAGGUAUCACGGGAUUUCUAAUUGCUUUGGAUUAAAUUCAUUAAAAUAUACGAGCACAGUUCACUCGUGGUACGUUUAUUAUAGUCACUUUGGACGAUAUCGUGGAGCGAGGUUUAAUUUGUUUGUCGACCUACUAAGAAUGUAAUAAUUUGGAUUUGGAUUUUAUGACAAACAAUGUGCAUCGGUUCAUGGAACGUUUCAUGGAACACGUCUCUUUUCAGUGUUUUUCGUCAUGCGUUCGUUAUUUACAACCUGUUGAAACGUCGACUUAUACCAUCGUCAUUGUCCCGAUCCCCUUAGCAGCCUGUCGCAUUAUCUAAAUACGAAACUCGCAAUAACUAAACAACGUGUUUGUCUGGGAUUUGGGUGCUCGUGAGGUAACGUAUUUGUCGGGGUAAUAUAUCACAUGCACAAGCAUCGUGCAUUUUUUAUUUUCCUUCUUUUUUUGUCGACCGUGACACCUUGCGGAUGAAGGUUUGUUUGUUUUGACGCGUGAAGAGAACUGAAUUCGUUAUUUCACGUUCUUCUUGAUAUUUUGGAAUAUAAAGACACAAAUUGGGGGGAUCUUCCUUUUUGGUACCUUUCAUCCCUUUUUUGGGGUCAUCUUCUUUAAAUAGAUUUGCAAAAAAAAUAAAAGGAUUUUCUAUCCACGUGUUUAGUCGAUCUUCAUUAUUUGAAAUCGGAGGUAAUUGUACUUUCAAUCAAUUAUAGAAAUUUCGAUGGGCAUCGAUAUUAUUAUCUUCAUUCCUAUCACGGUCAUCAGACUUACAAUUUAUACUGUCGAGAAAUCUGUUCUAUUGUAUCUAUCUCUGUGAGACCACGUGCCACUGAUCGUUUAAACGUUUCCCUCCUCAAUGUGCCGACAAUUGACGAGCAAAAAAGUAUUUCGUCGUAAUCGAACAUUUAACGCAGCCUGACAAUUGUCGAGGUUAAUCUACACCGGUCGAAACUAGUGUGGCUUACGUUCGAUUCAUUCGACAGAGCAAACAGGCUUAUCGAGAUCACGCAUCGAACAACAAGUAUCGACGUUUUCUCAGAUCUUCCUGACAAGUCUUCAAUUCGAACGAAACAUCUAGAAAGUUAGAUGGAGACCUUUUGUGUCAUUCGUUUAAGUUUUAGUGAUAGCUUAAGGCUAGACGAUCAUUGGGUCAGUCGUGACCUAGACCUACUAGCUUAGGGCAGUGAUGGGCAAUCGCGCCCUCGAUAUUGGAAAAUUUGAAAUUUAUAUAUUUUUAAAUGUCUAAUUUUCCAAAAUCCUAAAUUAUGUAAAUUUGAAAGUUGGAAAAUUUAGAAAUUUCCAAGUUUCCUAAUUUUCAAGUUUUAAAGCUCCCAAAUUUCCAACUUGGCAAUUUCAAGUUUCCCACUUCCCAUUUCCCCUUCCCCAUUUUCCAAGUUUCCCAGUUCCCAAUUCUCAAAUUUUCAAGUUUCCCGAUUUCCAAGUUUCCAAAUUUUUAUAUUUUCCACAUGCCUGUGCCACACCCUCUGCUGUCCCCAAAAUAUGUUGAGGUAUUUCAAGUCACGGGGCGUAUGAUUCGUGAUUACUUCAAUUCCCAAGCAAGCAAUCAUUUUAACAAUAAAAUGGUGUACUUAAUUUAUUUACCGUUUAUGGCACCGUUCUCAUGUAAGCUAAACAAUUUUUGCCGCAUAAUCACCGAUGAUUAACCAUAAGUCUGAUGAUACCAACAUUUUGGUUUAUUUACUUGCUAAUUUCUACUUAACGCGAAUGGAAACACGUUUCCUGGAGGCGUUUAUUGGAAAAAUAUUCCUAUCAAUUCAACGAGAUAGCUGAAACAUGUCGCGAUCUUUAUCCACGGUAAAAGAUAGACAAACUUUUUUAGUUCGAAGGAUAGAUAGUGAUUGCGAAAACAUUGUUAUUUAUGGUAAUACGAUAAUAAAUUGAGUUAGGUCUGAUAUCUUAGAUUAGUUGGAUUUAACAUAAAUAGGUCUGAAUGGUGGAUUUUACUUGAACUUUAAAGAAGUUUCAAUUAAGUUUGUAUCUAGGUACUUAUAAAGUUAUUUUUGCUAAAAAUCUUGGAUAUAACAUAAUUGAAUGAUCAAAAAAAGAACAUAUCAUUAAUUAAAUUUGUGAUGCUUGUUCUCAUAGCAUUCAAUAUAUAAAAAUUAAGAUAAUUUUUAAAUGAUUUGAAUAAUUAUUGGUGCAAAUUUGAAGAAUCCUUUGAUCAGUAAAAUUAUUAUCCAACUUUAAAAAGUGUAUUUAUAAAAUUCGUAGAAUUGUAGAACGUGAUUUAUCGAUUGAUCAAUCGUCUUAAUCUCUUUUAUUCUCAUGCAACAAGUAUCAACAUGAAGCAAAAAACAAUGAUUACAAAAAAUGUGUAUUUUAGUCAAUUUUCAAAUAAUCUUAAUUGUACACCGAUUGGCAAAUAUCGAAACACAAAGAAACUUCAUCAAAUUAUAGAUGAAUAAUUCUUGGAACUCUUUGAAAAUCCUUCGGAAACGUUUCCUUUUUCUCUGAACAAUUCAAUUUUUUCUUUCCAUACGAUUAUGUCAUCAUUGUAGGAAUUGUACGGAUAAUUAAAAUUCCUUAAAUGAAAAAAAAGAUUCAUAUAUUAUCGGAUCGCAUAUUAAUACAAUGUAAUAGAUUGAAAAACUUGAAAUUCACCAAGUUCGAGUUUACUUCUUGAUAUCUUGUCUACGAGUACAUAUAUGAUGAUCAAAACAAGUGGACCAUUAACAACAUUGUUGAGAGAUAAGGGCCACUUAGAAAAAAAAUGUUCCAUUAAGUGUUUGUUGCAUUCCUAAUGAUCGAUUCAUUGAUAAAUUUAUUAUUUACCUAUUUUCAAAAAUACACAAAAUACUUCUGUUUCUAUAUUUGAUCAAUUUUGAAAAUUAAAAAAUCCUUGCAUUCAUUAUAAAAAAAAUCUUCAAUUUUGUAAAACAUUUUUGAAAUCUUUUAUUUGCAAUAUAUUAAAAACAAAUUCGUGUAAUAUUGAUAAUUUUAUUUAGUAAUUUUGCAAAAGAGGUUUGGAUUUAAUCUGUAAUGUCCGACAAAUUUCAAUCAGUUACCUUAUCAGCCGCUUAUCAAAAUUCCAUCAAAAUCAGAGAAAAUCCCCGUGAUUCCUGUCUAAAGAUCAUAAAUCAUUCCCGGUUUUAAUUAUACCUCUAAAUACUUCGCGUUAGAGUGCAUUUCCCGCGUUUGUUUGGCAGCAGUACAACAUUUUCUACUCUCAGAAGUAUCUACAUUGUUGAUAGCACAUUACAUCCUUCCGUCUUCAUAAUGGCAACAAAAGUAAUCAGUCUCUAAAUAAUUCCAAAAUUUUUGAAAAUUAUAUCUUAUUAUUAGACACAAUACUGAUGUCUGCAACAUACGUAUUUGUAUUAUAACUUCGAUAGUGUAAUCGUCGUGAUAACGUGGGUCGUUAUAAAAAGAAGGGAUCCAGUCGGUGGAGGAUCGUUGAGCGUAAGCGAGGCGUCGGGACGAUGCACCGAGUAUGACACGGAACUAACACGGUGUAAAUCGCGAAUCGACAAACCGACGAGCCCGUGAUUUUCCUCAAGUUCGUAUAUCAUGCGCGCGCGUUCCACGAUCUUGGCACGCGAGCGACGCGAGCGGUGGAUUCGCGCCAAAUAUCCGAUCGCCAUCCCAAUAUUUCCGUCAUCGACGCGACGUUGAUACGUCAGCACGAUCGCGAUCGUGAGACGCCUCGAACACGCUUCUCGCGCAGCUUCCGCGAUACCGCUACACCGCACCGAUCGGAUCAGAUCUGCGAGGCCGAUCGAGAAAAGUCUACCGGACGACAGGGUAUUCCGGUUGACAUGGCCAUCGUCCAACUGCAAAACACUCUAUUUCGGCCUCUUUUCAAUGUCAACGACGCCAGAACGGCAGUCUCAUCAGCUGAACCAGACAUAUGGUGGACAGAGACACUUGUAGAAUUGAUAUUUGAUGAAUAAAUUCAAUUAGGAGUUUCA
Long non-coding RNA from Osmia bicornis bicornis, 4132 nucleotides. RefSeq lists it as uncharacterized. The record is from RefSeq and is a predicted model, not a curated record. The transcript is spliced from 2 exons. NCBI's taxonomy places the organism in Eukaryota, Metazoa, Arthropoda, Insecta, Hymenoptera, Megachilidae.